GAUGAACGCUGGCGGCGUGCCUAAUACAUGCAAGUCGAGCGAACAGACGAGGAGCUUGCUCCUCUGACGUUAGCGGCGGACGGGUGAGUAACACGUGGAUAACCUACCUAUAAGACUGGGAUAACUUCGGGAAACCGGAGCUAAUACCGGAUAAUAUAUUGAACCGCAUGGUUCAAUAGUGAAAGACGGUUUUGCUGUCACUUAUAGAUGGAUCCGCGCCGCAUUAGCUAGUUGGUAAGGUAACGGCUUACCAAGGCGACGAUGCGUAGCCGACCUGAGAGGGGGAGCGCGCCCACUGGAGAUGGGACACGGGCCAGAGACCCCCGGGGGGGGCAGCGGGGGAGACUCUCCCAAAGGGGGCAAACCCGACAGGGCAAAGCGCCGCGGGGGAGAAAAGUGUUCGGGUCUCAAAACCCUUUUUUAUUGGAAAAAAAAAAGUGUAAAAAAAACUGCACGCCUGUAGGGGACCCAUACAGAAAGCCCCGCGUAAAACCGU
Molecule: ribosomal RNA, 496 nt
Filed under: uncultured bacterium
Lineage: Bacteria
Description: partial 16S ribosomal RNA
Rfam family: Bacterial small subunit ribosomal RNA
Source: RNAcentral